GACGAACGCUGGCGGCGUGCUUAACACAUGCAAGUCGAACGGAAAGGCCCUGCUUUUGUGGGGUGCUCGAGUGGCGAACGGGUGAGUAACACGUGAGUAACCUGCCCUUGACUUUGGGAUAACUUCAGGAAACUGGGGCUAAUACCGGAUAGGAGCUCCUGCUGCAUGGUGGGGGUUGGAAAGUUUCGGCGGUUGGGGAUGGACUCGCGGCUUAUCAGCUUGUUGGUGGGGUAGUGGCUUACCAAGGCUUUGACGGGUAGCCGGCCUGAGAGGGUGACCGGGCACAUUGGGACUGAGAUACGGCCCAGACUCCUACGGGAGGCAGCAGUGGGGAAUAUUGCACAAUGGGCGGAAGCCUGAUGCAGCAACGCCGCGUGCGGGAUGACGGCCUUCGGGUCGUAAACCGCUUUCGCCUGUGACGAAGCGUGAGUGACGGUAAUGGGUAAAGAAGCACCGGCUAACUACGUG
This 468-nucleotide ribosomal RNA is filed under the name uncultured bacterium. RNAcentral's name for it is "partial 16S ribosomal RNA". It matches the Rfam family "Bacterial small subunit ribosomal RNA", at positions 28 to 507 of the family's 1533-position model. The record is from RNAcentral.